This 253-nucleotide ribosomal RNA is filed under the name uncultured bacterium. RNAcentral's name for it is "partial 16S ribosomal RNA". It matches the Rfam family "Bacterial small subunit ribosomal RNA", at positions 524 to 776 of the family's 1533-position model. The record is from RNAcentral.
UACGGGGGGGGCAAGCGUUGUUCGGAAUUACUGGGCGUAAAGGGUUCGUCGGUGGCUUGUUAAGUCAGACGUGAAAUCCCUCGGCUCAACCGGGGAACUGCGUCUGAGACUGAUGAGCUCGAGUGCAGGAGAGGAACGCGGAAUUCCAGGUGUAGCGGUGAAAUGCGUAGAUAUCGUCUGGAACGCCGAAGGUGAAAACAGCUCGCUGGGGCUGCGCUGACGCUGAGACACGAAAGCCAGGGGAGCGAACGGG